AAUCAACGCUGGCGGCGUGCCUCAGACAUGCAAGUCGAACGCGAAAGUCCCCUUCGGGGGAUGAUUAGAGUGGCGCACGGGUGAGUAACACGUAGGUAAUCUACCUUCGAGUGGGGAAUAACUCAGGGAAACUUGAGCUAAUACCGCAUAAUGCAGCGGCACCACAUGGUGACAGUUGUUAAAGCAUUUAUGCGCUUGAAGAGGGGCCUGCGGCAGAUUAGCUAGUUGGCGGGAUAAAAGACCCACCAAGAACUUCGAUCGGUAGCCGGUCUGAGAGGGCGACCGGCCACACUGGGACUGAGACACGGCCCAGACUCCUACGGGAGGCAGCAGUGGGGAAUCUUGCGCAAUGGGCGAAAGCCUGACGCAGCGACGCCGCGUGAGGGA
RNAcentral lists this ribosomal RNA (387 nucleotides) under uncultured bacterium. RNAcentral's name for it is "bacterial SSU rRNA". It matches the Rfam family "Bacterial small subunit ribosomal RNA", at positions 32 to 408 of the family's 1533-position model. The record is from RNAcentral.